GCCCGCAAUUCGGAUGCUCGAGUUUUUCAGCAGAUACAUUUUUGAUAAAGGCUCACAACGAUCGCUGGCGGCGCGGCUAAUACAUGGUUCUUAAACGAGAAGGUGUAGCAAUACACUUGUACAGUGGCGAACGGGUGAGGAGUGCAUGGGUAACCUACCCUCGAGUGGGGAAUAACCAGCCGAAAGGUUGGCUAAUACCGCGUACGCUUCCCGGUCUGCGGAUCGGGAAGGAAAGUCAUCCCGUGGGGAUGACGCUCAAGGAUGGGCUCAUGUCCUAUCAGCUUGUUGGUAGGGUAACGGCCUACCAAGGCUUCGACGGGUAGCUGGUCUGAGAGGACGAUCAGCCACACUGGCACUGCGACACGGGCCAGACUCCUACGGGAGGCAGCAGUAAGGAAUAUUGCGCAAUGGGCGAAAGCCUGACGCAGCGACGCCGCGUGGGGGAUGAAGGCCUUCGGAUUGUAAACCCCUUUUGGGAGGGAAGAUGGGACGAGCAAUCGUCCGGACGGUACCUCCAGAAAAAGCCACGGCUAACUUCGUGCCAGCAGCCGCGGUAAUACGAAGGUGGCAAGCGUUGUUCGGAUUUACUGGGCGUACAGGGAGCGUAGGCGGUUUGGUAAGCCCUUCGUGAAAUCUUCGGGCUCAACCCGGAAAGUUCGGAGGGGACUGCCAGGCUAGAGGACGGGAGAGGAGCGCGGAAUUCCCGGUGUAGCGGUGAAAUGCGUAGAGAUCGGGAGGAAGGCCGGUGGCGAAGGCGGCGCUCUGGAACGUUUCUGACGCUGAGGCUCGAAAGCGUGGGGAGCAAACAGGAUUAGAUACCCUGGUAGUCCACGCCCUAAACGAUGUCAACUAGUUGUUGGGGAUUCAUUUCUUCAGUAACGUAGCUAACGCGUGAAGUUGACCGCCUGGGGAGUACGGUCGCAAGAUUAGAACUCAAAGGAAUUGACGGGGACCCGCACAAGCGGUGGAUGAUGUUGGAUUAAUUCGAUGCAACGCGAAAAACCUUACCUACCCUUGACAUGCCACUAACGAAGCAGAGAUGCAUCAGGUGCCCGAAAGGGAAAGUGGACACAGGUGCUGCAUGGCUGUCGUCAGCUCGUGUCGUGAGAUGUUGGGUUAAGUCCCGCAACGAGCGCAACCCUUGUCUCUAGUUGCUACGAAAAGGGCACUCUAGAGAGACUGCCGGUGACAAACCGGAGGAAAGGUGGGGAUGACGUCAAGUCCUCAUGGCCCUCAUGGGUAGGGCUUCACACGUCAUACAAUGGUGCGUACAGAGGGUUGCCAACCCGCGAGGGGGAGCCAAUCCCAGAAAACGCAUCGUAGUCCGGAUCGUAGUCUGCAACUCGACUACGUGAAGCUGGAAUCGCUAGUAAUCGCGGAUCAGCAUGCCGCGGUGAAUACGUUCCCGGGUCUUGUACACACCGCCCGUCACACCAUGGGAGUGGGUUUUGCCAGAAGUAGUUAGCCUAACCGCAAGGAGGGCGAUACCACGGCAG
This 1496-nucleotide ribosomal RNA is filed under the name uncultured bacterium. RNAcentral's name for it is "bacterial SSU rRNA". It matches the Rfam family "Bacterial small subunit ribosomal RNA". The record is from RNAcentral.